Molecule: non-coding RNA, 210 nt
Filed under: uncultured Ruminococcus sp.
Lineage: Bacteria; Bacillati; Bacillota; Clostridia; Eubacteriales; Oscillospiraceae
Source: RNAcentral
ACGGAAAGGACUAACCAACCACCGUUAGCGAGUCUUGUGCUGUAUGCAGUAAUGGAUAUAGUAAAGCGUAGACAGCGAGGAAGUGGGGUUACAAGGUGAUAGAGCCUCGAAAUUUUGCUAUUCGGAGGGCUGACGCUUUAAUUUCGGCGGAAAGCAAUAUGUACAAAUCGUUAUGGUGAGAUUAUGUACACCUCUGCGGGGUCAAAGAGC